ACCGAUAGUGAACCAGUACCGUGAGGGAAAGGUGAAAAGUACCCCGGGGAGGGGGAGUGAAAUAGUACCUGAAACCGUUGGCAUACAAUCAGUCAAAGCGUCGUCAUGACUUCGGUCAUGGCCGUGAUGGCGUGCCUUUUGAAGAAUGAGCCAGCGAGUUACGGUACGUGGCAAGGUUAACCAGUGAUGGGAAGCCGGAGCGAAAGCGAGUCUGAAUAGGGCGUUUAGUCGCGUGCUGUAGACCCCGAAGCCGAGUGAUCUAUCCAUGGGCAGGUUGAAGCGAGGGUAAGACCUCGUGGAGGACCGAACCCACCUAGGUUAAAAACUGGGGGGAUGACCUGUGGAUAGGGGUGAAAGGCCAAUCAAACUCGGUGAUAGCUGGUUCUCCCCGAAAUGCAUUUAGGUGCAGCGUCGUUUGUUCAGUCAUGGGGGUAGAGCACUGGAUGGGUUAGGGGGCCUACAAGCUUACCGACCCCAACCAAACUCCGAAUACCAUGACUCCAGAGAACGGCAGUGAGACUGCGGGGGAUGAGCUUCGCAGUCGAAAGGGG
This 551-nucleotide ribosomal RNA is filed under the name uncultured bacterium. RNAcentral's name for it is "bacterial LSU rRNA". It matches the Rfam family "Bacterial large subunit ribosomal RNA", at positions 483 to 1020 of the family's 2925-position model. The record is from RNAcentral.